GUCGUAACAAGGUUUCCGUAGGUGAACCUGCGGAAGGAUCAUUAACCUUUCAAAUCAGGGUGCGGCGCGGCCCCCGAGGAGCGGAAACAAUCCUUGGGAGGUAUGCGGGGGCUUCGAGCCCCCCAUUUACGCACGCACGACUGCCAUCCUUACUUUACGAGCACCUUCUGUUCUCCCUCGGCGGGGCAACCUGCCGUUGGAACCGAAUAAACUCUUUUUGCAUCUAGCAUUACCUGUUCCGAAACAAACAAUCGUUACAACUUUCAACAAUGGAUCUCUUGGCUCUGGCAUCGAUGAAGAACGCAGCGAAAUGCGAUAAGUAGUGUGAAUUGCAGAAUUCAGUGAAUCAUCGAAUCUUUGAACGCACAUUGCGCCCCUCGGUAUUCCGUGGGGCAUGCCUGUUCGAGCGUCAUCUACACCCUCAAGCUCUGCUUGGUGUUGGGCGUCUGUCCCGCCUCCGCGCGUGGACUCGCCCCAAAUUCAUUGGCAGCGGUCCUUGCCUCCUCUCGCGCAGCACAUUGCGCUUCUCGAGGGGCUACGGCUCGCGUCCAACAAGCACAUUUACCGUCUUUGACCUCGGAUCAGGUAGGGAUACCCGCU
Molecule: ribosomal RNA, 600 nt
Rfam family: 5.8S ribosomal RNA (bases 259-412)